UGCCUCGUGUGCCGGCUCGCCCCUCUCCCAGGCAGGGGAGCGCCCACUUGUGGGCUGUUUCCCGGCUAACCAACGAACCCCGGCGCGUAAAUGCGUCAAGGAAUAUAAACUUUAUGUGUGUGCUCUCCUAUCGCCCGGUUAGCCGGGCGUUGGAGUGGUGCCAUGUCUUAACAAUAAACGACUCUCGGCAACGGAUAUCUCGGCUCUCGCAUCGAUGAAGAACGUAGCGAAAUGCGAUACUUGGUGUGAAUUGCAGAAUCCCGUGAACCAUCGAGUUUUUGAACGCAAGUUGCGCCCGAAGCCUCCGGCUGAGGGCACGUCUGCCUGGGCGUCACGCAUCGCGUCUCCCCCACAUUCCACCUUGGUGGAGGGGAAGGAGGAUGGUUUCCCGCGACUCACCGGUCGCGGCUGGCCUAAAAUUGGAGCCCACGGCAUCGGGAUGCCGCGGCGAUAGGUGGUGAACAAGGCCUCGGCCAAGCAAGCAACCCGUCGCGCAUGCCGUGCCAAUGCGGGCUCGAAGGACCCUUUGUCGUUGUCUUUGAGGCAACCAAACCGUUGCGACCCCAGGUCAGGCGGGGC
This 579-nucleotide ribosomal RNA is filed under the name Silene fernandezii. RNAcentral describes it as "eukaryotic LSU rRNA". The stretch from base 180 to 334 matches the Rfam family "5.8S ribosomal RNA". Lineage: Eukaryota; Viridiplantae; Streptophyta; Magnoliopsida; Caryophyllales; Caryophyllaceae. The record is from RNAcentral.